AGAGUUUGAUCAUGGCUCAGAUUGAACGCUGGCGGCAGGCUUAACACAUGCAAGUCGAGCGGGGGAAGGUAGCUUGCUACUGGACCUAGCGGCGGACGGGUGAGUAAUGCUUAGGAAUCUGCCUAUUAGUGGGGGACAACAUUCCGAAAGGAAUGCUAAUACCGCAUACGUCCUACGGGAGAAAGCAGGGGACCUUCGGGCCUUGCGCUAAUAGAUGAGCCUAAGUCGGAUUAGCUAGUUGGUGGGGUAAAGGCCUACCAAGGCGACGAUCUGUAGCGGGUCUGAGAGGAUGAUCCGCCACACUGGGACUGAGACACGGCCCAGACUCCUACGGGAGGCAGCAGUGGGGAAUAUUGGACAAUGGGGGGAACCCUGAUCCAGCCAUGCCGCGUGUGUGAAGAAGGCCUUAUGGUUGUAAAGCACUUUAAGCGAGGAGGAGGCUACUAGUAUUAAUACUACUGGAUAGUGGACGUUACUCGCAGAAUAAGCACCGGCUAACUCUGUGCCAGCAGCCGCGGUAAUACAGAGGGUGCGAGCGUUAAUCGGAUUUACUGGGCGUAAAGCGUGCGUAGGCGGCCAUUUAAGUCAAAUGUGAAAUCCCCGAGCUUAACUUGGGAAU
RNAcentral lists this ribosomal RNA (619 nucleotides) under uncultured Campylobacterota bacterium. RNAcentral's name for it is "bacterial SSU rRNA". It matches the Rfam family "Bacterial small subunit ribosomal RNA", at positions 8 to 621 of the family's 1533-position model. The record is from RNAcentral. Lineage: Bacteria; Pseudomonadati; Campylobacterota.